Molecule: ribosomal RNA, 463 nt
Filed under: uncultured bacterium
Lineage: Bacteria
Description: bacterial SSU rRNA
Rfam family: Bacterial small subunit ribosomal RNA
Source: RNAcentral
UGGCGGCGUGCCUAACACAGUUCAAGUCGAACGAACUGUAGAAAUACAGUGAGUGGCGACGGGUGAGUAACGCGUAAGCAAUCUGCCUUUGUGUAGUGGAAUAACAACCGGAAACAGUUGCUAAUACCGCAUAACGCAGAGAGAUCGCAUGGUCUUUCUGCCAAAGAUUUAUCGCACGAAGAUGAGCUUGCGUCCGAUUAGAUAGUUGGCGGGGUAACGGCCCACCAAGUCAACGAUCGGUAGCCGGACUGAGAGGUUGAACGGCCACAUUGGAACUGAGAUACGGUCCAGACUCCUACGGGAGGCAGCAGUGGGGAAUAUUGGGCAAUGGACGAAAGUCUGAACCCCCAGCGACGCCGCGUGAGGGAAGAAGGUCUUCGGAUUGUAAACCUUAGUCAACAGGGACGAAGCAAGUGACGGUACCUGUGGAGGAAGCCACGGCUAACUACGUGCCAGCCGCUGC